Molecule: long non-coding RNA, 336 nt
Filed under: Musa acuminata (dwarf banana)
Lineage: Eukaryota; Viridiplantae; Streptophyta; Magnoliopsida; Zingiberales; Musaceae
Description: long non-coding RNA (MACU_LNC008059)
Source: RNAcentral
UAUAUAUAUAUAUAUAAUCCGGAUUAGUUUCCCAAACAAAAUAAAUUGUGGAACAACUCGUGUUUCCUCUUCAGUUUAUUUAUCAAGCAAAAGCAAAAAAAAAAAAAAGAAAAAAAAAAACUCAUCAAAGAUCUAAACUAUCCUCCAAUUGAUUGUGUACAUCAGUAUUUAUUUGAAGUAUAUAGAAAAUACUGUUGUCAUGAAACAGUUAUGAUGAGAUAUGCUGCGGUUUCACCAGCAGAAGCCAUAUGAUUGAUUCAAGUAACCCCCAAAGAGCUGGAGACAUCCCAGAAGCUGUCAAGUGUUCUUAAAGGUGAUGAGAUGAGGAAAAGGGGG